GACGUAGGGCGCGAGCGUUGUCCGGAAUUAUUGGGCGUAAAGGGCGCGUAGGCGGCCUGGCAAGUGGAAGGUGAAAUCCCUCGGCUUAACCGAGGAACUGCCCUCCAAACUGCUUGGCUUGAGUCCGGGAGAGGUGAGUGGAAUUCCCAGUGUAGCGGUGAAAUGCGUAGAUAUUGGGAGGAACACCAGUGGCGAAGGCGGCUCACUGGACCGGAACUGACGCUGAGGCGCGAAAGCGUGGGGAGCAAACGGG
This 253-nucleotide ribosomal RNA is filed under the name uncultured bacterium. Its description in RNAcentral is "partial 16S ribosomal RNA". It matches the Rfam family "Bacterial small subunit ribosomal RNA", at positions 524 to 776 of the family's 1533-position model. The record is from RNAcentral.